RNAcentral lists this ribosomal RNA (445 nucleotides) under uncultured bacterium. RNAcentral's name for it is "bacterial SSU rRNA". It matches the Rfam family "Bacterial small subunit ribosomal RNA", at positions 29 to 506 of the family's 1533-position model. The record is from RNAcentral.
GCGAACGCUGGCGGCGUGGCUAAGACAUGCAAGUCGAACGGACCGCAAGGUCAGUGGCGGAAGGGUGAGUAAUGUAUGGGUAACCUACCCCGGACAGGAGCAUAGCUGCGGGAAACUGCAGGUAAUUCUCCAUAACGUCCUCCGGUGGCAUCAUCGGAGGACCAAAGGUCCGCCGGUCCGGGAGGGGCCCAUAUCCUAUCAGCUAGUUGGCGGGGUAACGGCCCACCAAGGCUGCGACGGGUAGCCGGACUGAGAGGUCGACCGGCCACAUCGGGACUGAGACACUGCCCGGACUCCUACGGGGGGCUGCAGUAACGAAUCUUCCGCAAUGGGCGCAAGCCUGACGGAGCGACGCCGCGUGCGGGAUGAAGUCCUUCGGGAUGUAAACCGCUUUUAGGGGAAGGGAAUCAUGACCGUACCCGGAAUAAGCCACGGCUAACUCUGU